This 460-nucleotide ribosomal RNA is filed under the name uncultured bacterium. Its description in RNAcentral is "partial 16S ribosomal RNA". It matches the Rfam family "Bacterial small subunit ribosomal RNA", at positions 338 to 795 of the family's 1533-position model. The record is from RNAcentral.
CCUACGGGAGGCAGCAGUGGGGAAUAUUGGUCAAUGGGCGUAAGCCUGAACCAGCGAAGUCGCGUGAGGGAUGAAGGUUCUAUGGAUCGUAAACCUCUUUUGUAGGGAAGUAAGGUGUGGGACGUAUCCUGUUGUGUAUGUACCUUAUGAGUAAGGAUCGGCUAACUCCGUGCCAGCAGCCGAGGUAAUACGGAGGGUCCGAGCGUUAUUCGGAUUUGUUGGGUUUAAAGGGUUCGUAGGCGGCCUGUUAAGUCAAGGGUGAAAGUCUGUGGCUCAACCAGAGAACUGCCGUUGAAACUGGCAGGCUGGAGUGUGUGUGAGGCAGGCGGAAUGCGAGGUGUAGCGGUGAAAUGCUUAGAUAUCACGCAGAACCCCGAUGGCGAAGGCAGCCUGCUAAGCCAUGACUGACGCUGAGGCACGAAAGCGUGGGGAUCAAACAGGAUUAGAUACCCUUGUAGUC